RNAcentral lists this ribosomal RNA (433 nucleotides) under uncultured bacterium. RNAcentral describes it as "bacterial SSU rRNA". It matches the Rfam family "Bacterial small subunit ribosomal RNA", at positions 76 to 518 of the family's 1533-position model. The record is from RNAcentral.
ACUUGAAGAUGCAUGUCUAGCGGCGGAACGGGUGAGUAACGCGUGAGCAACCUGUCCCUUACAGGGGGAUAACACAGCGAAAGUUGUACUAAUACCGCAUGAGACCACGAUGGGACAUCCCCAUAGGGGUCAAAGGAGCAAUCCGGUAAGGGGUGGGCUCGCGUCCGAUUAGAUAGUUGGUGAGGUAACGGCCCACCAAGUCGACGAUCGGUAGCCGACCUGAGAGGGUGAUCGGCCACAUUGGGACUGAGACACGGCCCAAACUCCUACGGGAGGCAGCGAGUGGGGAAUAUUGGGCAAAAUGGGGGAAACCCUGACCCAGCAACGCCGCGUGAGGGAAGAAGGUUUUCGGAUCGUAAACCUCUGUCCUUGGUGAAGAGGAAGAGACGGUAGCCAAGGAGGAAGCCCCGGCUAACUACGUGCCAGCCGCCGC